Molecule: ribosomal RNA, 449 nt
Filed under: uncultured bacterium
Lineage: Bacteria
Description: partial 16S ribosomal RNA
Rfam family: Bacterial small subunit ribosomal RNA
Source: RNAcentral
AAUGAACGCUGGCGGCAUGCCUAACACAUGCAAGUCGAACGAAGGCUUCGGCCUUAGUGGCGCACGGGUGCGUAACGCGUGGGAAUCUGCCCUCAGGUUCGGAAUAACAGCGAGAAAUUGCUGCUAAUACCGGAUGAUAUCGCGAGAUCAAGGAUUUAUCGCCUGAGGAUGAGCCCGCGUAGGAUUAGCUAGUUGGUGUGGUAAAGGCGCACCAAGGCGACGAUCCUUAGCUGGUCUGAGAGGAUGAUCAGCCACACUGGGACUGAGACACGGCCCAGACCCCUACGGGGGGAAGCAGUGGGGAAUAUUGGACAAUGGGCGAAAGCCUGAUCCAGCAAUGCCGCGUGAGUGAUGAAGGCCUUAGGGUUGUAAAGCUCUUUUACCCGGGAUGAUAAUGACAGUACCGGGAGAAUAAGCUCCGGCUAACUCCGUGCCAGCCGCCGCGGUAA